UAGGAUAUGGUGUAAAAGGUAGCACGAAGAAUUUUGAAUUCUUAGGAUUAGGUUCAAUUCCUAUAGUUCUAG
RNAcentral lists this transfer RNA (72 nucleotides) under Callospermophilus lateralis (golden-mantled ground squirrel). RNAcentral's name for it is "tRNA-Gln". It matches the Rfam family "tRNA". From Rfam's summary of the family: Transfer RNA (tRNA) molecules are approximately 80 nucleotides in length. The record is from RNAcentral. Lineage: Eukaryota; Metazoa; Chordata; Mammalia; Rodentia; Sciuridae.